AAGACCUUGCACUUUUGGAGCGGCCGAKGUCUGAUUAGCUAGUUGGUGGGGUAAUGGCCUACCAAAGCUUCGAUCAGUAGCUGGUCUGAGAGGACGGCCAGCCACACUGGGACUGAGACACGGCCCAGACUCCUACGGGAGGCAGCAGUGGGGAAUUUUGGACAAUGGGCGCAAGCCUGAUCCAGCCAUGCCGCGUGAGUGAAGAAGGCCUUCGGGUUGUAAAGCUCUUUCAGCCGGGAAGAAAAGGUUGCGACUAAUAAUCGCAAUUCAUGACGGUACCGAAAGAAGAAGCACCGGCUAACUACGUGCCAGCAGCCGCGGUAAUACGUAGGGUGCGAGCGUUAAUCGGAAUUACUGGGCGUAAAGGGUGCGCAGGCGGUUUUGUAAGUCAGAUGUGAAAUCCCCGGGCUUAACCUGGGAACU
RNAcentral lists this ribosomal RNA (423 nucleotides) under uncultured bacterium. RNAcentral describes it as "bacterial SSU rRNA". It matches the Rfam family "Bacterial small subunit ribosomal RNA", at positions 207 to 622 of the family's 1533-position model. The record is from RNAcentral.